GGUCGCUCAGCAUCUGGUUGAUCUGCGCGGUAUUCUGCAGCACGGCUCGCGCCGCCUGUGCCAAAUGGUUGAGUGACGUAUAGCGCCGCAGCGUCUGUGCGAAGGCGCCGGCCGCGGCCACCUGCACGGAGACAGUAGGUACGCAUCUUCACGAAUGUCCUGCCACUUUCAAUUUAAGACACAACGAAGAGCCGCACCCCUCCAGUACUGAGCCCAUGGCCCUGCACAGACUUGGCGAGGGUGUACCACUGAGCUCUAUAUGCAAGGGUAGUCACUGUUUCCAUCAGAGCAGCCUCGGAUACCUGUUCCGUGAGGGCCUAGCUCCGUCACCACGGACCCACGUUGCCUUCAGUCUUCAGAGUGCACACAGCACGGACCAAUGACUGUGAGGCCCGGCAACUGCAAGGCCUGCUUCCUGCGCUCUCUACUCUUGCGGGCUCUCCCUGUCUUUUCUGUCUAGGGUCUCUGGGCUGGACUGGUGAAGCCAAAGCUUGUACUGGAAGGAGCUAUAGGUGUGGACCACCGUUCACUACGCUGUUGCAGAAGACAGUCUUGCUGAGCAUGUGGGGCACACCUUUAAUUCCAGCACUCAGGAGGAAGAGGCAGGGGAAUCUCUUGGCCUGGACAGAGAAAGCUGCCCUGCUCAGCUGAGGAAGCAGAGGGCACCAGGUGGCAAGAGUCUGAUACCAGGCAAGCACUUAGCUUGGUCCUAAGGGCAUACAAGGUGCUUAUACUGAGCAUGUAACCCCACUUCCUCUCGACCCUAUGAAAGGUGUUCCUGAUAGCUUGGACAGACAUGAGAAAACUGAGACAAAGAGAUCAAGAACAUCACCAAGGACAGUAUGAAUGAAUGAAUGAAUGAAUGAUGCCUGAGCCACUAACUGGAAAAGAGAUGAGCAGACACCAAGAGAUAGCUGAGUAAGGAGAUGAAGUAAGUACAGAAACGGGAAGGCACAGCCAGAGCAAUGUCCCAGAGGUAGGCACAGGAAGUAGAGCUGAGUGGAGUGAGCAGGAGCAAGAGUUCUUGCCCUGUGGUUCAGACCCACUUGGAGUUGAGGUGGGUCACAGGAGCAGACAGCAUAUGCCCUUGGGGC
Peromyscus maniculatus bairdii (prairie deer mouse) is the source of this 1094-nucleotide non-coding RNA. NCBI's taxonomy places the organism in Eukaryota, Metazoa, Chordata, Mammalia, Rodentia, Cricetidae. The record is from RefSeq and is a predicted model, not a curated record.